RNAcentral lists this non-coding RNA (206 nucleotides) under Paenibacillus sp. RNAcentral's name for it is "GlcN6P sequence". It matches the Rfam family "glmS glucosamine-6-phosphate activated ribozyme aptamer". Rfam says of the family: This entry contains a glucosamine-6-phosphate activated ribozyme that is found in the mRNA for GlmS. GlmS is an enzyme that uses fructose-6-phosphate and glutamine to generate glucosamine-6-phosphate. The record is from RNAcentral. Lineage: Bacteria; Bacillati; Bacillota; Bacilli; Caryophanales; Paenibacillaceae.
CACGUUUUAUAAGCGCCAGAGCUUCAAGGGGGAUGACGCCUUCCAAUCUUAUUUAUAAGAAUGGGGAAGGGUCACACGAGGAAGCUGACGAGGUGAAGGUGUUCGAAUUAUUCGGCGGGGACCUUCCGGUUAUAGCAAAGCCAACCGAAAGCCGAUACGCAAAAAGAUUGGGCGACCGAUCUCACAAACGUCCGGCAGGCUGCACU